This 61-nucleotide transfer RNA is filed under the name Planctomycetota bacterium. Its description in RNAcentral is "Planctomycetes bacterium (activated sludge metagenome) tRNA-Val". It matches the Rfam family "tRNA". From Rfam's summary of the family: Transfer RNA (tRNA) molecules are approximately 80 nucleotides in length. Their secondary structure includes four short double-helical elements and three loops (D, anti-codon, and T loops). The record is from RNAcentral. Lineage: Bacteria; Pseudomonadati; Planctomycetota.
CGCCCGUAGCUCAGUUGGUAGAGCGCCUCCCUUACAAGGAGGGAGUCGACAGUUGGGCGCA